Molecule: ribosomal RNA, 395 nt
Filed under: uncultured bacterium
Lineage: Bacteria
Description: bacterial SSU rRNA
Rfam family: Bacterial small subunit ribosomal RNA
Source: RNAcentral
GACGAACGCUGGCGGCGCGCUUAACACAUGCAAGUCGAGCGAGAACCAGGGCUUCGGCCCUGGGGAAAGCGGCGAACGGGUGAGUAACACGUGAGUAACCUGUCCUCGGCACCGGGAUAGCCCGGGGAAACCCGGAUUAAUACCGGAUGGCUUUUCGAGUCUUCGGGCUCGUCAGAAAAGGUAGCUUCGGCCUCCGGCCGAGGAGGGACUCGCGGCGGAUUAGCUUGUUGGUGAGGUAACGGCUCACCAAGGCGACGAUCCGUAGCUGGUCUGAGAGGACGAUCAGCCACACUGGGACUGAGACACGGCCCAGACUCCUACGGGAGGCAGCAGUGGGGAAUCUUGCGCAAUGGGCGAAAGCCUGACGCAGCGACGCCGCGUGCGGGAAGAAGGCC